AUCAGAAUGCUGCGGUGAAUGCGUUCCCGGGUCUUGUACACACCGCCCGUCACACCACGGGAGUUGGAGACGCCCGAAGCCGAUUAUCUAACCUUUUGGAAGAAGUCGUCGAAGGUGGAAUCAAUAACUGGGGUGAAGUCGUAACAAGGUAGCCGUAUCGGAAGGUGCGGCUGGAUCACCUCCUUUCUAAGGAGAAUU
Molecule: ribosomal RNA, 198 nt
Filed under: Clostridioides difficile
Lineage: Bacteria; Bacillati; Bacillota; Clostridia; Peptostreptococcales; Peptostreptococcaceae
Description: partial 16S ribosomal RNA
Rfam family: Bacterial small subunit ribosomal RNA
Source: RNAcentral